This 492-nucleotide ribosomal RNA is filed under the name uncultured bacterium. RNAcentral describes it as "partial 16S ribosomal RNA". It matches the Rfam family "Bacterial small subunit ribosomal RNA", at positions 29 to 507 of the family's 1533-position model. The record is from RNAcentral.
AGUGAACGCUGGCGGUAGGCCUAACACAUGCAAGUCGAACGGCAGCACAGUAAGAGCUUGCUCUUACGGGUGGCGAGUGGCGGACGGGUGAGGAAUACAUCGGAAUCUACUUUUUCGUGGGGGAUAACGUAGGGAAACUUACGCUAAUACCGCAUACGACCUACGGUUGAAAGCAGUGGAUCUUCUGACCUUGCGCGAUUGAAUGAGCCGAUGUCGGAUUAGCUAGUUGGCUGGGUAAAGGCCCACCAAGGCGACGAUCCGUAGCUGGUCUGAGAGGAUGAUCAGCCACACUGGAACUGAGACACGGUCCAGACUCCUACGGGAGGCAGCAGUGGGGAAUAUUGGACAAUGGGCGCAAGCCUGAUCCAGCCAUACCGCGUGGGUGAAGAAGGCCUUCGGGUUGUAAAGCCCUUUUGUUGGGAAAGAAAAGCAGCAGGUUAAUACCCCGCUGUUCUGACGGUACCCAAAGAAUAAGCACCGGCUAACUUCGUG